RNAcentral lists this long non-coding RNA (279 nucleotides) under Prunus persica (peach). RNAcentral's name for it is "long non-coding RNA (PPER_LNC002877)". Lineage: Eukaryota; Viridiplantae; Streptophyta; Magnoliopsida; Rosales; Rosaceae. The record is from RNAcentral.
GAUCGCGUUAGGGACCCUUUCGCCUGUCAGAAUGCUGCCCUCUGGGGUGAAGUUUAGUCUUGUGGACAUGGUUUCUUUUUUUGGUGGAUCAGUAGCAGCAUCAACAGCAUCACUAACAGCAGCAUCAACAACAUCACUAACAGCUGCAUCAAUAGCUUUCUCUUCAGUAUCUCUUAUCUCCUGCAAACAGCGUUAAAAGGAUUACCAAUCCCUGAACAAAUCUCAUCAGACUUUGACAUUAUUUGGGCUUCACAAACUUCUCACCUCCACAGCCAUUGG